This 401-nucleotide transfer-messenger RNA is filed under the name Pseudomonadaceae. RNAcentral describes it as "Pseudomonas_E sp900110765 Standard tmRNA". It matches the Rfam family "transfer-messenger RNA". Rfam says of the family: Bacterial tmRNA, also known as 10Sa RNA or SsrA, is named for its dual tRNA and mRNA-like properties. Its role is to liberate the mRNA from a stalled ribosome. The record is from RNAcentral. RNAcentral also lists the same sequence under 1 other name. Lineage: Bacteria; Pseudomonadati; Pseudomonadota; Gammaproteobacteria; Pseudomonadales.
GGGGCCGAUUAGGAUUCGACGCCGGUGAUGAAACUCUAGGGGCAUGCCGACUUGGUAACAGAAGUCGUAAAUCCACUGUUGCAACUUUCUAUAGUUGCCAAUGACGAUACCUACGGCCAAAAGGAUCUGAUGGCUGCUUAAUUGCAGUCACUAGACUAAUUGGUUCUGGCAGCUUCGGCUCCAGCAAUCACCAGGGGAUGCCUGUAAACCCGAAGUGAUUGUCAUACAGAACAGGAUCGCCGUGCAGUACGCUGUGGACGAAUCGGCUAAAACUUACACAGCUCGCCCAAAGCACCCUGCCCGUCGGGUCGCUGAGGGUUAACUUAAUAGACACGGCUAAGCAUGUAGGCCCGAAAGCGGAGUACUGGCGGACGGGGGUUCAAAUCCCCCCGGCUCCACCA